AAUUGAAGAGUCUGAUCAUGGCUCAGAUUGAACGUUGGCGGCAGGUCUCAUACAUGCAAGUCGAACGAGGCGCCGGCUUCGGCCGGAACCUAGUGGCGGACGGGUGAGUAACGCGUAGGAAUCUACCUAGUAGUGGGGAAUAACUCGAGGAAACUCGUGCUAAUACCGCAUACGACCUAAGGGUGAAAGCGGGGGCUCUUCGGACCUCGCGCUAUUAGCGGAGCCUGCGUUGGAUUAGCUUGUUGGUGGGGUAAUAGCCUACCAAGGCAACGAUCCAUAGCUGGUCUGAGAGGAUGAUCAGUCACACUGGAACUGAGACACGGUCCAGACUUCUACGGAAGGCAGCAGUAAAGAAUAUUGCGCAAUGGGCGAAAGCCUGACGCAGCCAUGCCGCGUGUGUGAAGAAGGCCUUUGGGUUGUAAAGCACUUUCAGUAGUGAGGAAAAGCGAACUGCUAAUACCAGUUCGUCAUGACAUUAGCUACAGAAGAAGCACCGGCUAACUCCGUGCCAGCAGCCGCGGUAAUACGGAGGGUGCGAACGUUAAUCGGAAUUACUGGGCGUAAAGCGCGCGUAGGCGGUAUGUUAAGUGGGAUGUGAAAGCCCCGGGCUCAACCUGGGAACUGCAUUUCAAACUGACAAACUAGAGUGUAGUAGAGGGAGGUGGAAUUUCCUGUGGAGCGGUGGAAUGCGUAGAUAUGGGAAGGAACACCAGUGGCGAAGGCGACCUCCUGGACUAACACUGACGCUGAGGUGCGAAAGCGUGGGGAGCAAACAGCGAUUAGAUACCCUGGUAGUCCACGCUGUAAACGAUGAGAACUAGCCGUCGGGCCUUUCGGGGUUUGGUGGCGUAGCUAACGCGCUAAGUUCUCCGCCUGGGGAGUACGGCCGCAAGGUUAAAACUCAAAUGAAUUGACGGGGGCCCGCACAAGCGGUGGAGCAUGUUGUUUAAUUCGAUGCAACGCGAAAAACCUUACCACCUCUUGACAUCCACGGAACUGAUCGUAAUGAGAAGGUGCCUUCGGGAACCGUGUGACAGGUGUUGCAUGGCUGUCGUCAGCUCGUGUCGUGAGAUGUUGGGUUAAGUCCC
RNAcentral lists this ribosomal RNA (1088 nucleotides) under Gammaproteobacteria bacterium. RNAcentral's name for it is "bacterial SSU rRNA". It matches the Rfam family "Bacterial small subunit ribosomal RNA", at positions 1 to 1088 of the family's 1533-position model. The record is from RNAcentral. Lineage: Bacteria; Pseudomonadati; Pseudomonadota; Gammaproteobacteria.